GACGUAGGUGGCGAACGUUAUCCGGAAUUAUUGGGCGUAAAGGAUGCGUAGGUGGUCUGAUAAGUUAUUAGUGGGAAAUCGAGGCUCAACCUCGUGGAAGUUAGUAAUACUAUCAGACUUGAGGAUAGGAGAGGUUAACAGAACUCCCGGUGGAGCGGUAAAAUGCGUAGAUAUCGGGAAGAAUACCAAAGGCGAAGGCAGUUAACUAUUCUACUCCUGACAUUGAGGCAUGAAAGCGUGGGGAGCAAAACGG
Molecule: ribosomal RNA, 253 nt
Filed under: uncultured bacterium
Lineage: Bacteria
Description: partial 16S ribosomal RNA
Rfam family: Bacterial small subunit ribosomal RNA
Source: RNAcentral